UACGUAUGGUGCAAGCGUUAUCCGGAUUUACUGGGUGUAAAGGGAGCGUAGACGGAGUGGCAAGUCUGAUGUGAAAACCCGGGGCUCAACCCCGGGACUGCAUUGGAAACUGUCAAUCUAGAGUACCGGAGAGGUGAGCGGAAUUCCUAGUGUAGCGGUGAAAUGCGUAGAUAUUAGGAGGAACACCAGUGGCGAAGGCGGCUUACUGGACGGUAACUGACGUUGAGGCUCGAAAGCGUGGGGAGCAAACAGG
RNAcentral lists this ribosomal RNA (253 nucleotides) under Mediterraneibacter faecis JCM 15917. RNAcentral describes it as "[Ruminococcus] faecis JCM 15917 partial 16S ribosomal RNA". It matches the Rfam family "Bacterial small subunit ribosomal RNA", at positions 524 to 776 of the family's 1533-position model. Lineage: Bacteria; Bacillati; Bacillota; Clostridia; Lachnospirales; Lachnospiraceae. The record is from RNAcentral.